Molecule: long non-coding RNA, 727 nt
Organism: Prionailurus viverrinus (fishing cat)
Lineage: Eukaryota; Metazoa; Chordata; Mammalia; Carnivora; Felidae
Exons: 3
Source: RefSeq, a predicted model, not a curated record
CACAGCAAACAGUCCUCAAAAGAGGGACAUUUUACAAAAUACCUAACCAGUAUUUCUCAAAACUAUCAAGGUCAUCAAUAAUAAGAAGGCAAGUAUGAGAAAGUGUCACAAGAGAAGCCUUAGGAGACAUGAUGACUAAAUGUAAUGUGGUACUCUAGGAUGUAUGCUGGGACAGAAAAAAAGACAUUAGUUACAGCCUUAUACACAUAAAUGGGAAAGGAAAAACACAUUUUUCUUCUGAAAAUUUCAAUCCAUUGAUGGGAGAGCUGGUGGAGGUACAAAAGCAGCAAGACGAAGCUCUGCGGACAGCUUCUGAGAAGAAGAUGUGAAGAUGUCUCUGGAACAGACUUCCAACUAAAGAACAAACGUCACAGACGCAGAGUAACUGCUUUGGUAACACUGCCUACUAAACCCUUCAGAGUGUACCUUUGAAUUUGUGAGUGGGACUGGAAGUAGGGAGAGAGAAGAAACAAAAGAAAUUAUUUGUCUUAAUCGGAGAGUGCAACCUCAAUUAAACUGCUCUUCAUCUCUGCAGACUCAGCAAUGUCCAUACAAUUACAAGACUCUAGCAAAUUUUUAACCAUCAGUCUAGUUGCCAAUGAUGCUUUGAGGAAUUGUAAGUAUAAAAAGCCUGAAAGCUUUAAUUAAGUAAGUAAGAUAUUUACAUUACAUAAGAGAUGUUCUUUCUCACUAAUGCCUGGCUCUUUACCUCAUGGCUCUAACUAAA